This 450-nucleotide ribosomal RNA is filed under the name uncultured prokaryote. Its description in RNAcentral is "bacterial SSU rRNA". It matches the Rfam family "Bacterial small subunit ribosomal RNA", at positions 355 to 796 of the family's 1533-position model. The record is from RNAcentral.
UGGGGAAUAUUGCGCAAUGGGGGCAACCCUGACGCAGCAACGCCGUGUGAGUGAUGACGGCCCUCGGGUUGUAAAGCUCUGUCAGUGGGAAAGAUGGGAGUUGUGGCCAAUAACCACAGCUUUUGACGGUACCCACAAAGGAAGCACCGGCUAACUCCGUGCCAGCAGCCGCGGUAAGACGGAGGGUGCAAGCGUUGUUCGGAAUCACUGGGCGUAAAGCGCGCGUAGGCGGCUAGGUAAGUCGGAUGUGAAAGCCCAGGGCUCAACCCUGGAACUGCAUCCGAAACUGCUUGGCUUGAGUCCCGGAGAGGGUGGUGGAAUUCCUGGUGUAGAGGUGAAAUUCGUAGAUAUCAGGAGGAACAUCGGUGGCGAAGGCGACCACCUGGACGGUGACUGACGCUGAGGUGCGAAAGCGUGGGUAGCAAACAGGAUUAGAUACCCCCGUAGUCC